Molecule: ribosomal RNA, 253 nt
Filed under: uncultured bacterium
Lineage: Bacteria
Description: partial 16S ribosomal RNA
Rfam family: Bacterial small subunit ribosomal RNA
Source: RNAcentral
GACAGAGGGUGCAAACGUUGUUCGGAAUUACUGGGCGUAAAGCGCGUGUAGGCGGCCCUGCAAGUCGGAUGUGAAAUCCCACGGCUCAACCGUGGAAGUGCAUUCGAAACUGCAGGGCUAGAGUCCUGGAGAGGAAGGUGGAAUGCUUGGUGUAGAGGUGAAAUUCGUAGAUAUCAAGCGGAACACUGGUGGCGAAGGCGGCCUUCUGGACAGAUAUUGACGCUGAGGUGCGAAAGCGUGGGGAGCAAACAGG